UACAGAGGGUGCGAGCGUUAAUCGGAAUUACUGGGCGUAAAGCGCGCGUAGGCGGCUUUGCAAGUCGGGGGUGAAAUCCCCAGGCUUAACCUGGGAACUGCAUUCGAGACUGCAUUGCUAGAGUAUGGGAGAGGGAAGUGGAAUUUCCGGUGUAGCGGUGAAAUGCGUAGAUAUCGGGAGGAACACCUGUGGCGAAGGCGGCCCCCUGGUUGGAUACUGACGCUGAUACGCGAAAGCGUGGGGAGCAAACAGG
RNAcentral lists this ribosomal RNA (253 nucleotides) under uncultured bacterium. RNAcentral describes it as "partial 16S ribosomal RNA". It matches the Rfam family "Bacterial small subunit ribosomal RNA", at positions 524 to 776 of the family's 1533-position model. The record is from RNAcentral.